GUCACUCAUAAGCGUGCUGAACGGUUUAACAUCUCUGGGACAACAUGUCACUGAAGGAAUGUCUGGAAUGGACUCACUUUUUUUUAACUUUUGUUCACUUACGAGAAUCAGAGUCUUUGAGUAUUUUAUCCCACAUUUUUACGAAUUUAUUAUUUACAGAUCAUAAACCGACAAAAAAGGACAUGGAACGGACUGAUUCCAGCGAUAGGUGUUACAAUUAGCUGCUGGAUUCAGGUCUUCUCUAGAAAGGAGGUUCAACCGGUCCACCUGCCUCCGCUGCCUCAGGCCAACGCCAGCUAUGCACUUUUCAAAAUGAAAGCAUGAACGUUCUGCGUGGGCGAAAGAAAAGCCACGCACCUUCUUUGACGAGGUCGAACACUUCGCUGACAUCAAAGCUGAUCUCGUCCGUGUCCUGGCCGACGUACUGAUAUAUCGCCCGGCAGCGGGGCCCCUGGGGCCGAGGCUGUGGUUUAGGAGCAGGAGGAGGUCGCUGACUAAUGCUCCUUUUCCUCUGCUUCCUGUGACAAAGAGAGAGAAAUGUGACAAAGGGAUAAAAGGAGCUGAUGAGGAGUCAAAGACUCGUAAAGCUUCUUUUAGGCUAAAUGGUCAGACAGGGAAAGUCAAACCACAGAGAGCCCCUUUAGGCCUUUCCAGAAACUAGGGGAACAGCAGCUCACCUACAGUUGGCAUCAGGACUUUCUAUAAACAGGUUUAUCUCUCUCACACUAUUCAACAUGCAUUCAUUUAUUUGGGUGUGGAGCCUCACCCUGAUGUGUCUUAACAACUCGAAAAGCUUGUGUGCACUCAUUUUUUUGUGACUAAUCUGCUCCACCCACAUAUGCCAUAAUCAUCCCUUCCUUC
Long non-coding RNA from Perca fluviatilis (European perch), 861 nucleotides. RefSeq lists it as uncharacterized. NCBI's taxonomy places the organism in Eukaryota, Metazoa, Chordata, Actinopteri, Perciformes, Percidae. The transcript has 3 exons. The record is from RefSeq and is a predicted model, not a curated record.